This 406-nucleotide ribosomal RNA is filed under the name uncultured bacterium. RNAcentral's name for it is "partial 16S ribosomal RNA". It matches the Rfam family "Bacterial small subunit ribosomal RNA", at positions 30 to 526 of the family's 1533-position model. The record is from RNAcentral.
AUUGAACGCUGGCGGCAGGCCUAACACAUGCAAGUCGGACGAGUGGCCGACUGGUGAGUGAUGUCUGGGAAACUGACUGAUGGAGAGGGAUAACUACUGGAAACGGUAGCUAAUACCUCAUACCUUAAGAUGUGCCCCUAUGGGAGUGGGUUGUUGGGGGGGUAACGGCUCACAAAGGCGACGACCCCUAGCUGGUCUGAGAGGAUGACCAGCCACACUGGAACUGAGACACGGUCCAGACUCCUACGGGAGGCAGCAGUGGUGAGUAUUGCACAAUGGGCGCAAGCCGGAUGCAGCCAUGCCGCGUGUAUGAAGAAGGCCUUCGGGUUGUAAAGUACUUUCAGCGGGGAGGCGUUACCCGCAGAAGAAGAACCGGCUAACGCCGUGCCAGCAGCCGCGGUAAUAC